UCGAGAGGCUUCGGCAAUGGGGGAAACCCUGACCGAGCGACGCCGCGUGGGGGAUGAAGGCCCUUGGGUUGUAAACCCCUUUUGUUCGGGAAGAAAUGCGAUCAGGUGAACAAUCUGGUCGUUUGACGGUACCGGACGAAUAAGCUCCGGCUAACUCCGUGCCAGCAGCCGCGGUAACACGGGGGGAGCAAGCGUUGUUCGGAAUCACUGGGCGUAAAGGGCGUGUAGGCGGUCAGGUAAGUGUGAUGUGAAAUCCCUCGGCUCACCCGAGGACCGGCAUCGCAUACUGCUUGGCUUGAGUACGGGAGAGGAUGUGGGAAUUCCUGGUGUAGCGGUGAAAUGCGUAGAUAUCAGGAGGAACACCGGUGGCGAAGGCGCACAUCUGGCCCGAUACUGACGCUGAGGCGCGAAAGCUAGGGGAGCAAACGGGAUUAGAUACCCCGGCAGUCCUAGCCGUAAACGAUGGGCACUUGGUGUUGGGGGUAUUGAGUCCCCCGGUGCCGGAGUUAACACGUUAAGUGCCCCGCCG
This 529-nucleotide ribosomal RNA is filed under the name uncultured Latescibacterota bacterium. RNAcentral describes it as "bacterial SSU rRNA". It matches the Rfam family "Bacterial small subunit ribosomal RNA", at positions 355 to 873 of the family's 1533-position model. Lineage: Bacteria; Pseudomonadati; Candidatus Latescibacterota. The record is from RNAcentral.